UACGAAGGGGGCUAGCGUUGCUCGGAAUUACUGGGCGUAAAGGGCGCGUAGGCGGACAGUUUAGUCAGAGGUGAAAGCCCAGGGCUCAACCUUGGAACUGCCUUUGAUACUGGCUGUCUUGAGUUCGGGAGAGGUGUGUGGAACGCCGAGUGUAGAGGUGAAAUUCGUAGAUAUUCGGCAGAACACCAGUGGCGAAGGCGACACACUGGCCCGAUACUGACGCUGAGGCGCGAAAGCGUGGGGAGCAAACAGG
RNAcentral lists this ribosomal RNA (253 nucleotides) under uncultured bacterium. RNAcentral's name for it is "partial 16S ribosomal RNA". It matches the Rfam family "Bacterial small subunit ribosomal RNA", at positions 524 to 776 of the family's 1533-position model. The record is from RNAcentral.